GGAUACGUCCUUGUUGGAUGAACGUAAUGGCCGUCUUCAGGUUCUGAGUCAUGCGGAGGUUCAGCAUGAUGCUGGGCAGUCGCCUCCUGCAGAAGGACGAGGCCGUGACCUUCUCUGUCAGCGACAGGUUCUGUCUGGUGGGGAUCAGGCCGAUGCUGUACCUGAUCAACCAGAGGAGCAGACAGUGUCGCAUCAGGUUAACACGAGUCACAAUCCACUGAGGCUUCAUGUGGAAAGGUCAGACGGCAACAACAGAUGUGAUCAAAGUAGGGGUGCUCCGAUCAAUCAGCCACGAUUUCCUUAAUUUUGGGCGAUUGGCCGACAUGUGAAACCGAUCUUAUUUUCUUCCACACUGUUUCCCUCUGCUUAACAUUAGCUGCAUUUCCACCGACCAUAAAAAUCCGUAAUUUGACACGUCCAAAAAUAAAUUUGCUUAAUGGAAACACGCCAAUUUUGGGGGAAAACAAAAAAAC
Molecule: long non-coding RNA, 473 nt
Organism: Xiphophorus couchianus (Monterrey platyfish)
Lineage: Eukaryota; Metazoa; Chordata; Actinopteri; Cyprinodontiformes; Poeciliidae
Exons: 2
Source: RefSeq, a predicted model, not a curated record